UAGGGAAUCUUCCACAAUGGACGAAAGUCUGAUGGAGCAACGCCGCGUGAGCGAAGAAGGCCUUCGGGUCGUAAAGCUCUGUUGUUAGGGAAGAACAAGUACCGGAGUGACUGCCGGUACCUUGACGGUACCUAACCAGAAAGCCACGGCUAACUACGUGCCAGCAGCCGCGGUAAUACGUAGGUGGCAAGCGUUGUCCGGAAUUAUUGGGCGUAAAGCGCGCGCAGGCGGUCCUUUAAGUCUGAUGUGAAAGCCCACGGCUCAACCGUGGAGGGUCAUUGGAAACUGGGGGACUUGAGUGCAGAAGAGGAAAGCGGAAUUCCACGUGUAGCGGUGAAAUGCGUAGAGAUGUGGAGGAACACCAGUGGCGAAGGCGGCUUUCUGGUCUGUAACUGACGCUGAGGCGCGAAAGCGUGGGGAGCAAACAGGAUUAGAUACCCUGGUAGUCCACGCCGUAAACGAUGAGUGCUAAGUGUUAGAGGGUUUCCGCCCUUUAGUGCUGCAGCUAACGCAUUAAGCACUCCGCCUGGGGAGUACGGCCGCAAGGCUG
RNAcentral lists this ribosomal RNA (550 nucleotides) under uncultured bacterium. RNAcentral describes it as "bacterial SSU rRNA". It matches the Rfam family "Bacterial small subunit ribosomal RNA", at positions 355 to 896 of the family's 1533-position model. The record is from RNAcentral.